RNAcentral lists this long non-coding RNA (2220 nucleotides) under Medicago truncatula (barrel medic). RNAcentral describes it as "lncRNA gene48585". Lineage: Eukaryota; Viridiplantae; Streptophyta; Magnoliopsida; Fabales; Fabaceae. The record is from RNAcentral.
UGAUCAUCACCACGUGAGGGAAAAUCAGCGUGGUGCCUAUUCAUUCAUGAUGAGCAUGAUGCUGCUGCGAGCUACGAUGCUUUCCCUUGCGCAUAUCAACAACCGCUGAUUGAUGGGAAUCACAAACCUGAGUUUUAAACUUACAACCAAGCUUCUUUCCCAACGAUGUCCUCCAUCCACCGCCGUUCGCGGCAGUAGGUUUUUCAAUCUUUUCAAUUACUCUCUUCAUUGAAGAACAUUCCCGUUCGAGUUGAUGCACCCGAGUCCUCAUGCUAUCCAUAUCCAGGCGUAACACUUGAUUCUCCCUCACCGCGACACGCCACGUGCUGUUCCCUUCCUGCUGCACGUGCUCUGACUCUAACCCUAACCCUAACCUUAACACUUCCCCAUUUCCUUCCUCUACACCUUCCAGUGUAGCCGAAUGACGGCUUAUCUCCGCACCCGUCUCCGCUGAGAUCAAUGUCUCAGCGAUGGCAUGGCGGAGUUGAAGCUGUUCGAAGAAAAGUACUUGAACCACAGCGCGUAGUGGAAGCCUUUCAUUUUGUGCCGCGUGUGUGCAGGCUUCUAAUGUUAGCUUCUGACAAUCCAAUAAUCCACAUAUCUUCUCCCUCUCCGCUUCUGAAACCCAUGGAUGUGCCUGUGUAUCAAAUUCAACAAUUUCACUGUCAAAUCGAUUUCUGAAAAUGUAAAAAUGAAAGUAAAAAUGAUUUAUACCUUGAGAUAGACAUCGACGGCGCGGUAUAAACCGUCGUCGAAGAGUCUAGCUUGAUCCGGAAGAGAAAUUGCGAAAUUGUAAAAUCUCUCCGGCUUCAGAUUCGCAUCUGAAGCUAUUUCGGAGAGAUAACCAUCAAUGAGUUUUCCGACGAGCAUCAUCGCCGGAGAUCUCGAUUCAGCAGCUUCUCCUUCUUCGAUUACUUCUGCAACCGUCACUACACCGGCAGUGGAGUUUCUUGCUUCAAAGCUAUUCAGAAAGUGAGAUAAAAUCCUCUCUACACAAUCAACAUCAUAAAGCGUUUCGUUCAGAUACGAAUAACUUGGUACAAGAAGAUCAUCGAGUGUUGCUUCUUCAAGCUGUAACCCUAUUUUCUUCUCCAAAGCGUUUCUACAUGAUUCUGAAGCGUUUAGUAUAUUCGCAGUUCGUAACAAUCCAAAUAGAAACCUUGUUGCUGUUGACGAAUUCAGAUUCUUUUCCGGUGGAAGAUUCAUAACAACUGUUUCUAGUAUCUCUUUCUGUUCUGCUUCUGAUGAAACGGAGGAAGACGACGGUAAUGGUUUUCGACUCGAUCUCGAAACGCCAGGAAUGUACUUCUUAGCGUAAUACAUUACACAAGUUUCAAUAAUUUCAGGAUUCAGCUCUGCGUCUUUCAUCGCAAGAAUCAAUCGUUUGAAUAGAGGUACACGGAGAAGCGCCAGAUCUUCAAACCAAGAGUCUCCGGCGCCGGCGCCAUUUCUUCUUCCUGCAGCAUCAAUUCCAUUCCAAAGAAUCUGUUUAGAUGCAGAUGCGGCGGCUUCACUCACCGGCCAACCGAACAACGCAGGAUCCGCCGAUGAAGCUCUGGAGAUUACAGACUCAAUACAUCUCUCAGUAAUUCCUAAAUCUUCCGCCAUAGGAAACAACUUUUCACAUGACUUUAGCGUUUUGAUUGAAUUUCCAAGGCUUUUGAGAACGUUUUGAGAGAGAAACUUGUCUGUUUUGGAAAUGAGAUUAUCCUCGGAAUACUCUUCAGUCAUCUCAAGAAACUCACCGGCGCAACGGAGUGAAGCUACAUUGGAAGGUGACAGUUCCAUUUUAACACCAUAGCAGAAUUUAGCCGCCAUCUCAAACGCCUCAGAGCCACCGGGGAAAUCGGUGAAUGUUACAUGACAUUGUUCUUCGACGAUUUCGUCUUCAUCUUCUUCUUCUUCUGGGACUGUGGAAUGUGUUAUUGCUUCUGCUUCUUCUUGUUGGGUUAUUAGGUUGUGAAGCUUUCUACUUUUUGACAUAAGUGGAAACUGAAAAAAAAUGGUUAUUGAAAACAAAUUUCAAUAACAGUUUGUAGUUACUAUAAUUGGAAGUUUUUUGUGUUUGUGUUUGCAUCUGUGUUUGAAAUUGUAUAAGAAAAAUGAAUUCUUUACCUUGUGAAGAUGAAAGGUCAUAUCAUCUACUUCAACAACAAUGUCACUUGGUAAUCCAGUUGUACAAAACCUGCAUAAUGGAAUUAUGAUUGUGAAGUAAGAAAC